GAGUUUGAUCAUGGCUCAGGAUGAACGCUGGCGGCGUGCCUAAUACAUGCAAGUCGAGCGAACGGACGAGAAGCUUGCUUCUCUGAUGUUAGCGGCGGACGGGUGAGUAACACGUGGAUAACCUACCUAUAAGACUGGGAUAACUUCGGGAAACCAGAGCUAAUACCGGAUAAUAUUUUGAACCGCAUGGUUCAAAAGUGAAAGACGGUCUUGCUGUCACUUAUAGAUGGAUCCGCGCUGCAUUAGCUAGUUGGUAAGGUAACGGCUUACCAAGGCAACGAUGCAUAGCCGACCUGAGAGGGUGAUCGGCCACACUGGAACUGAGACACGGUCCAGACUCCUACGGGAGGCAGCAGUAGGGAAUCUUCCGCAAUGGGCGAAAGCCUGACGGAGCAACGCCGCGUGAGUGAUGAAGGUCUUCGGAUCGUAAAACUCUGUUAUUAGGGAAGAACAUAUGUGUAAGUAACUGUGCACAUCUUGACGGUACCUAAUCAGAAAGCCACGGCUAA
RNAcentral lists this ribosomal RNA (509 nucleotides) under uncultured microorganism. RNAcentral describes it as "bacterial SSU rRNA". It matches the Rfam family "Bacterial small subunit ribosomal RNA", at positions 9 to 500 of the family's 1533-position model. The record is from RNAcentral.